RNAcentral lists this ribosomal RNA (402 nucleotides) under uncultured bacterium. RNAcentral's name for it is "bacterial SSU rRNA". It matches the Rfam family "Bacterial small subunit ribosomal RNA", at positions 356 to 773 of the family's 1533-position model. The record is from RNAcentral.
GGGGAAUAUUGCGCAAUGGGGGAAACCCUGACGCAGCAACGCCGCGUGAAGGAUGAAGGUUUUCGGAUCGUAAACUUCUUUGAUGAGGGACGAACAAAUGACGGUACCUCAAAAACAAGCCACGGCUAACUACGUGCCAGCAGCCGCGGUAAUACGUAGGUGGCGAGCGUUGUCCGGAAUUACUGGGUGUAAAGGGCGUGUAGGCGGGAAUGCAAGUCAGAUGUGAAAUACCGGGGCUUAACUCCGGGGCUGCAUCUGAAACUGUGUUUCUUGAGUGUCGGAGAGGAAAGUGGAAUUCCCAGUGUAGCGGUGAAAUGCGUAGAGAUUGGGAGGAACACCAGUGGCGAAGGCGACUUUCUGGACGAUAACUGACGCUGAGGCGCGAAAGCGUGGGGAGCAAAC